GAUGAACGCUGGCGGCGUGCCUAAUACAUGCAAGUCGAGCGAACGGACGAGAAGCUUGCUUCUCUGAUGUUAGCGGCGGACGGGUGAGUAACACGUGGAUAACCUACCUAUAAGACUGGGAUAACUUCGGGAAACCGGAGCUAAUACCGGAUAAUAUUUUGAACCGCAUGGUUCAAAAGUGAAAGACGGUCUUGCUGUCACUUAUAGAUGGAUCCGCGCUGCAUUAGCUAGUUGGUAAGGUAACGGCUUACCAAGGCAACGAUGCAUAGCCGACCUGAGAGGGUGAUCGGCCACACUGGAACUGAGACACGGUCCCGACUCCUACGGGGGGCAGCAGUAGGGAAUCUUCCGCAAUGGGCGAAAGCCUGACGGAGCAACGCCGCGUGAGUGAUGAAGGUCUUCGGAUCGUAAAACUCUGUUAUUAGGGAAGAACAUAUGUGUAAGUAACUGUGCACAUCUUGACGGUACCUAAUCAGAAAGCCACGGCUAACUACGUG
Molecule: ribosomal RNA, 497 nt
Filed under: uncultured bacterium
Lineage: Bacteria
Description: partial 16S ribosomal RNA
Rfam family: Bacterial small subunit ribosomal RNA
Source: RNAcentral